UUUGAAAUUUAUAUUUUAGUAAAAAAGCUAAAAUUAUUUAUAGGGACGAGAAGACCCUAUCAAGUUUUACAAUCCAAAAUUUAUUUUCAAAUUAAAUUUAAAAUUGUUUUGCUGGGGCAGCAGAUAAAAAAUUUUUAUCUUAAAAUUGUGAUUAAUAAAUCUUGAAAAAUCAAAAAAUUUUUAAUUAAAAAUAAAUUACUGUAGGGAUAACAGCAUAAUUUUUUUAGAGAGUUCUUAUCAUCAAAAAAGUUUGUGACCUCGAUGUUGGAUUAAAAUUCCUAAUUCGUGCAAUAAUGAAAUAA
Molecule: ribosomal RNA, 302 nt
Filed under: Paravaejovis confusus
Lineage: Eukaryota; Metazoa; Arthropoda; Arachnida; Scorpiones; Vaejovidae
Description: partial 16S ribosomal RNA
Source: RNAcentral